This 3032-nucleotide ribosomal RNA is filed under the name Candidatus Goldiibacteriota bacterium HGW-Goldbacteria-1. Its description in RNAcentral is "bacterial LSU rRNA". It matches the Rfam family "Bacterial large subunit ribosomal RNA". The record is from RNAcentral. Lineage: Bacteria; Candidatus Goldiibacteriota.
UGGUCAAGCUACUAAGGGCACACAGGGGAUGACUUGGUGUCAGGAGGCGAUGAAGGACGUGACAGGCUGCGAUAUGCUUCGGUUAGGUGCCAAUAACCUUUGAGCCGAAGAUUUCCGAAUGGGGUAACCUUACAGGCUAAUACCCUGUAAUCCUUAACUGAAUACAUAGGUUAAGGACGCGAACCCGGGGAAGUGAAACAUCUCAGUACCCGGAGGAAGAGAAAAAGAAAUUGAUUUCCCUAGUAGUGGCGAGCGAACGGGAAACAGCCCAAACCGUGCUUGUGUCAAGCUUGCAGGCGUUGCAAACGCGGUGUUGUAGGAAAGUCAUGGAGUGACUGCUAACGCUCCGGAGAGUUACAAAGUUUUCUUCUAUUCGAACGAUGCUGGAAGGGUCGGCCACAGAAGGUGAAAGCCCUGUAGAAAAAAGAAGAAGACCUCUCAGAUUUUUCCUGAGUACCACGGGACACGAGAAAUCUUGUGGGAAUCCGGCCGGACCACCGGCCAAGGCUAAAUACUACCUGACAACCGAUAGUGAACCAGUACCGUGAGGGAACGUUGAAAAGUACCCCUUUUAGGGGAGUGAAAUAGUACCUGAAACUGUGUGCUUACAAGCGAAGGAAGGACUAUGUAUGUUUGUUUAUGGGCUUCGGUUCAUAAAUGGAUAUACAGUCUGCCCUUGUGCCUUUUGCUUAAUGAGCCGGCGAGUUAAUUGUUGUGGCAAGGUUAAGUUCCUCGCGGAACGGAGCCGUAGCGAAAGCGAGUAUGAAAGUGCGCUCAGUCGCAAUAAUUAGACCCGAAGCCAGGUGAUCUAAGCGUGGUCAGGAUGAAAUUCUGGUAACACAGAAUGGAGGUCCGAACUGGUGGUUGUUGCAAAAACCUCGGAUGAACUGCGUUUAGGAGUGAAAAGCUAAUCGAACCUGGUGAUAGCUGGUUCUCCUCGAAAUAGCUCUAGGGCUAGCCUCAUGUGUGUUUAACGGGGGUAGAGCACUAAAUAGGCUAGGGGCGAUAACCUCGUUACCAAACCUAAUUAAACUCCGAAUACCGUUAAAUGAAUCAUGGGAGUCAGAACGUGUGGGCUAAGCUUCACGUUCAAAAGGGAAACAGCCCAGACCAUCAGCUAAGGUCCUUAAGUACCGCUUAAGUGGAAAAGGAUGUGGAAUUACUCAGACAGCUAGGAUGUUGGCUUAGAAGCAGCCAUCAUUUAAAGAGUGCGUAAUAGCUCACUAGUCAAGUGAUUCUGCGCCGACAAUAUAACGGGGCUCAAAGCGGUCACCGAAGCUAUGGAAUUGAAAAAUUGGUAGGGGAGCGUUCCAGUGUAGGUUGAAGCGAGACCGGAAGGACUCGUCGACGAACUGGAAGUGAAAAUGCCGGCACGAGUAGCGUAAAUUUAGGUGAAAAACCUAUAGGCCGUAAAUCUAAGGUUUCCUCGAGCUAGGUUAAUCCGCUCAGGGUUAGUCGGGAUCUAAGUCCAGGCCGAAAGGCGUAGGCGAUGAACAAGCAGUUAAUAUUCUGCUACCAGCUAAUGUUCGUUAUCACGAUGGAGUGACGCAGAAAGAUAGGUAGGCCUGUUAUUGGAUUCAGGUCCAAGCAUUCAGGGUGUUAUCCAGGCAAAUCCGGAUAACGUUAGCCCGAAGUGUGAUGGGGAUCCUUCGUAAGAAGGAGAAGUUACUGAUUCUACGCUGCCAGGAAAAGCUUCUAAGGAGAACAUUGGCUGCCCGUACCGCAAACCGACUCUGGUAGAUGGGGAGAACAUCCCAAGGCCCUCGAGAUAUUGCCUCAAAAGGAACUCGGCCAACUCACCCCGUAACUUCGGGAGAAGGGGUGCCCCUCCGCGUUAAGGGAUUCGUUCCCGUAAGCGUGAAGGGGCCGCAGUAAAUAGUCCCAGGCGACUGUUUAACAAAAACACAGGACUCUGCUAACACGAAAGUGGAUGUAUAGGGUCUGACGCCUGCCCGGUGCUGGAAGGUUAAGGGGAGCUGUCAGUCGCGCAAGCGAGGAAGCAGUCAACCGAAGCCCCAGUAAACGGCGGCCGUAACUAUAACGGUCCUAAGGUAGCGAAAUUCCUUGUCAGGUAAAUUCUGACCUGCACGAAUGGCGUAACGAUCUGGGAACUGUCUCUUGGGGCAGCUCGGCGAAAAUGUAGUAGCGGUGAAGAUGCCGCUUACCUGCAGUGGGACGGAAAGACCCUAUGAAGCUUUACUAUACCUUGACAUUGAUUCUUGGUUGAACAUGUGUAGGAUAGGUGGGAGACUUUGAUGUCUUGGCGCCAGCCAGGGCGGAGUCGUCGUUGAAAUACCACCCUUGUUUUAUUGAAAAUCUAACUGUAUCCAGUGAAACCUGGUGCAGAACACUGUCUGGCGGGUAGUUUGACUGGGGCGGUCGCCUCCAAAAGAGUAACGGAGGCGCUCUAAGGUACCCUCAGCGCGGUCAGCAAUCGCGCUAAUGAGUGCAUUGGCAUAAGGGUGCUUAACUGCGAGACAUACACGUCGAGCAGGUGCGAAAGCAGGACAAAGUGAUCCGGUGGUUCUGUGUGGAAGGGCCAUCGCUCAGCGGAUAAAAGCUACUCUAGGGAUAACAGGCUGAUCCUAUCCGAGAGUUCACAUCGACGAUAGGGUUUGGCACCUCGAUGUCGGCUCAUCACAUCCUGGGGCUGAAGAAGGUCCCAAGGGUUCGGCUGUUCGCCGAUUAAAGUGGUACGUGAGCUGGGUUCAGAACGUCGUGAGACAGUUCGGUCCCUACCUACUGUGGGCGUAAGAGAUUUGAAGGGAGCUAUUCUUAGUACGAGAGGACCGGAAUGGACGAACCUCUGGUGUUCCGGUUAUUCCGCCAGGAGUAACGCCGGGUAGCUAUGUUCGGAAUGGAUAAACGCUGAAAGCAUCUAAGCGUGAAACCAGCCCUAAGACAUGAUCUCUCUUUGUGGUAACACAACUAAAGACUCGUUGAAGACUACAACGUUGAUAGGUCGGAAGUGUAAGACCCGUAAGGGUUUCAGCUGACCGAUACUAAUAAGUCGUGAGGUUUGGCCACUAUAA